CUUUUGCGCCAAAGAGGACUUUUAAUUCAACAUCGAGGUCAUAAACUCACUUGUCAAUUAGAACUUUUAAAGUGAAUUAAGCUGUUAUCCCUAAAGUAACUUAUUCUUCUUUGAAAAAUUUAAGAUAUUAGGACUUAUUAAGUCUUCAAAAUGAAGAAAAGCUAUUUUUCCUACCGCCCCAGUAAAAUAUUUAUUGUCUUUCCUAAAAUAGUAAAUAUAAAGUUUUAUAGGGUCUUCUUGUCUUUAAGAAUCAUUUUAGCCUUCUUACUAAAAGUCAACUUCAUUUUUUUACCUUAAAAAAGUCUUUUCCAGUUGGACAUCCNACCCCAG
This 330-nucleotide ribosomal RNA is filed under the name Olivierus caucasicus. RNAcentral describes it as "Mesobuthus caucasicus partial 16S ribosomal RNA". The record is from RNAcentral. Lineage: Eukaryota; Metazoa; Arthropoda; Arachnida; Scorpiones; Buthidae.